This 1624-nucleotide long non-coding RNA is filed under the name Sus scrofa (pig). Its description in RNAcentral is "lncRNA (ENSSSCG00065035300.1)". Lineage: Eukaryota; Metazoa; Chordata; Mammalia; Artiodactyla; Suidae. The record is from RNAcentral.
CCUCCACCAGGGCUUCUGCCUCCCCAGGGUGUCCCACUGGGUGUCACCAGCCAGAUGGCCAAUUGUUUGGAGCUUGAGGAUCAGCGGCUCUGGACUGUGAGGGCGGACACUUCUCCCCUCGGGGUCGCAGCUGAUUGGAGGGGCCGGAGCCUCGGUGGGCGUGGCCUUCCUGCUUUAUUUCAAGCCUCUUCCUCUGGCUCCGCCUGCAUUGGGCUGGGCUGUCCCCUCCCGUGAUGAGGUGCAGGUCGCUUCUCCCCUCUAAGGGGGCCUUGGUGACCCGCCUCCUUCCGGAGUAAGUCCUCUCCACGGUGGCCUCGGGAGGUGGAGCAGAGCUUCUGAAGGUCAGCACCUGCAGCCCGACGCCGGAAGCCCUGCCUGCGGGCCCCUGCAUGGGGACGCCACCAUGGAUGCUCUGAGGAGGAGGCUCACACACCCUCCCGCAGAACCACACGCACUCACACCCUCACCCCGCGUGAUUUGCCUGAUUUCCUCCGCGGGCGGCAGAUUAGCUACAUUGUGAUCAACCCACAAAGCACCGACUGUCCUAAGAGCGGCUGACUGCUCAGGAGCCCCCCCUUAGGGAUGGACAUUGAAGUUCUAAUUUUUUUUAUUUUUAUGAUUUUUUUUUCGCUUUUUAACUUUUAUCGAAGGGGAGUUGAUUUACAAGGUUGUGAUAAUUUCUGCCGUGGACAUUGACGUUUUUAAAAUCUCUGCGCCUGUUUCAAAAUUAGCCCUGCCCAGCUGCAACCCCUUCUUCCCGACCCCUGCAUCCUUCUACUCCGGCUCCCACCCCCGCAGGGUAGGCUGAGGGGGACAGAAAGGCUCGGCCUGUCCCCCAGCCACCUCUGGAUGCUUCAUUGGACCAGUGGGAGCAGCAGAAGCAGGGGCUGAGGGCUGCCUUUGCCUGGGGCCUCUGGGCACAUCUUCGGGCCACCCUGCCUCUUCCACCCCUGGCCUGCCUGCAGGGCAUGCAGCGAUUUCCCGGUCCUGGGUUCAGCCUGGGCACCGCUGGCCCCCACUCCGCCCCCCACCCCCCCCAUCCCCGUCUGUCUUUCUUAGCCUUCCUCUGCCUCCUCCUCAGCUCUGCACAGGUCCCCCUCUGUCCCUGCAGAUCUAGUUUCGCUCCCCCACUCCCACGGCGGCCCCUGGGAGCACCUGCUCCUUUUUCCGUUUCGCCUGCUCCUUCUUGCUGGCUCUGUUGGAGUCACUUGCUUCUUUGCUGUCCAGUUUCCCCUGCCUGGCAGCUGGUGGCUCCCUGCCUGUCUGUCCCCUGAAGAGCAGGCCCUUGAAGGAAUCCCUUCUGAGAGCGCCACCCUCAGGCCUAGGGGACCUGAGAGGCAGCUGGGGGAAGGGUGGGGACAAAAAUAGCUCCUUAUCUGAGCCUGAGGGAGGCCCGCCUGGGGAGGGUCAGGAAGGAUUCCAAGGCCAAGAGGGUGAAGAAGCUGCGGCAGGGUCUGUGCCUGGAUUAGGUCCCUGCUGGGAGCCCUUGGCCCUCCCACACCUGGAAGCUGCAGCUGAUCUGGCCACCGUGGGGCCUCCCAGGCACCUGGACUCAGGACUCCUAACAGGACCACAGGAACAGGUGACGGGCCCCAAAGGCACCGAGGUGGGUCUAAGCACUGUC